GAUGAACGCUGGCGGCGUGUUUAACACAUGCAAGUCGAACGAAGCACUUAAGAUUGAUUCUUCGGAUGACGUCUUUUGUGACUUAGUGGCGGACGGGUGAGUAACGCGUGGGUAACCUGCCUCACACAGGGGGAUAACAGUUAGAAAUGACUGCUAAUACCGCAUAACCCGAUAGGAUCGCAUGAUCCAGACGGAAAAGAUUUAUCGGUGUGAGAUGGACCCGCGUCUGAUUAGCUAGUUGGUGAGGUAACGGCCCACCAAGGCGACGAUCAGUAGCCGGCCUGAGAGGGUGAACGGCCACAUUGGGACUGAGACACGGCCCAAACUCCUACGGGAGGCAGCAGUGGGGAAUAUUGCACAAUGGGGGAAACCCUGAUGCAGCGACGCCGCGUGAGUGAAGAAGUAUUUCGGUAUGUAAAGCUCUAUCAGCAGGGAAGAAAAUGACGGUACCUGACUAAGAAGCCCCGGCUAACUACGUG
Molecule: ribosomal RNA, 479 nt
Filed under: uncultured bacterium
Lineage: Bacteria
Description: partial 16S ribosomal RNA
Rfam family: Bacterial small subunit ribosomal RNA
Source: RNAcentral